AGCUCCAAUAGCGUAUAUUAAAGUUGUUGCAGUUAAAAAGCUCGUAGUUGGAUUUCUGGUGGGAGCGAUCGGUCCGACACUCUGUGUGGGUACUUGCAUCGUCUCUGGCCAUCCUUGGGGAGAGCCUGUCUGGCAUUAAGUUGUCGGGCAGGGGAUCCCCAUCGUUUACUGUGAAAAAAUUAGAGUGUUCAAAGCAGGCUUAUGCCGUUGAAUAUAUUAGCAUGGAAUAAUAAGAUAGGACCUUGGUACUAUUUUGUUGGUUUGCGCACCUAGGUAAUGAUUAAUAGGGACAGUUGGGGGUAUUCGUAUUCAAUUGUCAGAGGUGAAAUUCUUGGAUUUAUGGAAGACGAACCACUGCGAAAGCAUUUACCAAGGAUGUUUUCAUUAAUCAAGAACGAAA
Molecule: ribosomal RNA, 400 nt
Filed under: phytoplankton environmental sample
Lineage: Eukaryota
Description: partial small subunit ribosomal RNA
Rfam family: Eukaryotic small subunit ribosomal RNA
Source: RNAcentral